AUGUAUGAUGAUGAUCAAGAGGAUGAUGAGAUUUCAUCUCAGCUGCUUAUACCCUAUGUUGGGAUGGAGUUUGACUCUGUUGAUGAUGCCAAGACAUUUUACAACGAAUAUGCAUUCAAGAUGGGCUUUGGUACACGCAUUGCCGCUUAUAAAAACAGCUGA
RNAcentral lists this ribosomal RNA (162 nucleotides) under Triticum aestivum (bread wheat). RNAcentral describes it as "partial small subunit ribosomal RNA". The record is from RNAcentral. Lineage: Eukaryota; Viridiplantae; Streptophyta; Magnoliopsida; Poales; Poaceae.